AUCAACGUCUCUCAAUUCACUCCCAAACACAUUUAUAAUACAUUUCUCAACCACCUGAAGCACUUCUAACAACAACAACACCAUCCUUUAUAAAGACAUUUCCAAUAUCAGAUCACAUUGGCAUAACUGAAGAUACAUUCUCAUUAUUUAUCAGCUUUUAAAGACCAAAAUAUUGUACAGAGCAGAUGUAUAAGAUUGUUUCUGAAAAUGUGUCGUAGAAUUCCACUUGAAAUGUGUUCUUAGCAAACUUUCUGGACUUCACUGGCUGGAGUGUCUACAAGAUGAGUCUGUGAGGAAAAUAAAAUUGGAUAAGUUUACUAGAGAGUAUUCAGACGAAAGUAACACUGGACAGAAAUACAGCAGUUGAAAUAUUUGUAAACAAAACAGUGUAGAAGCAAAGAGAAGGAAAAAAUAUAUCUAUUGUAAUUUUGAAAGAAAAAAUAUGGAGAAGAGUGAGAAAGCAAAGGAUUUGACUUUUCUAGAAGACAAAGUGAAGAAGAGACGUAUAUUGUCACACGAACUUGAUGUCUGUAAAAAGGCCUUCUCUGAAAAGGGUAACUUGAAUAAGCACAAACGUAUUCAUACAGGAGAGAAGGCAUUUCACUGUGACAUCUGUGGUAGAUCAUUCUCU
Long non-coding RNA from Octopus sinensis (East Asian common octopus), 631 nucleotides. RefSeq lists it as uncharacterized. The record is from RefSeq and is a predicted model, not a curated record. NCBI's taxonomy places the organism in Eukaryota, Metazoa, Mollusca, Cephalopoda, Octopoda, Octopodidae. The transcript is spliced from 2 exons.